Coregonus clupeaformis (lake whitefish) is the source of this 1244-nucleotide long non-coding RNA. RefSeq lists it as uncharacterized. The record is from RefSeq and is a predicted model, not a curated record. Lineage: Eukaryota; Metazoa; Chordata; Actinopteri; Salmoniformes; Salmonidae. The transcript has 4 exons.
UAUAUAGCCUACACUUUCUCGUUCUGAACUUCCAAAGCGAAUGGGGGCGGGUAUGGCUUCAUGAAGAUGCAAGAGCAGCUGCUCACUGAUUUGAUGGCUCCAACACAGUUCCACCACCAAGUCAUCCGCUAUGCGGGUGUCUGCUAUCGCUGGUUAAGGCUUGAUUGAACCUAGGCCUUAGUAGUAGUAAGUUAGCAGUAGUAGUUAUUAGUAAUAGUAGGACUCCAUAUGUUUGUGUUUGUUGUUUUUAUGUCCUAUGAAUUUGUAUGACAAUUAUUUCACACAUUUCUGUGAAAAUAGACAAAAUCCUUUUUGAUCUUCGGCAAAUAGAGAGCAGAGUACAGUAUAUUGACAGUCUGUUGGUCAAAUAGCAGAAGGAUUUUUUUAACCACUUCCUGUCUAGGCUAGAUAAACCAGUCUACUUGUUACCUGGAAAGGCGUGGUUAGAUGGGGGCCAGUGACUCUGCAGUUUACUCAGCUUAUCUGUAACAGUGCUCACCUGCUUUCACUUCUGUCUCUUUCGCAUUGCUCACACACACUGGUUCUAGAGAGGAGAAACUACCAAGAGAUAAGAAUCAUGUCUGUGGAAAUCCACAUAGAAUAUUGUAGUGGAUGAGGGUACGAGUCUCGCUAUCAGGACCUGGCAUCCGCCAUCAAGCGGAAUGUUCCUGAUGCGACGGUGACGGGAACCACAGGGCGGCGUUCCAGUUUCGAGGUAACAGUGAAUGGUAAACUGGCUUACUCUAAACUGGAGGCAGGAGGAUUCCCAGACACCAAGGAGCUGGUGGCGAUGGUGAGGGAGGUGAGCCACGGAGGAAAGGUGGAGAAAGUGAAGAAGAAGGAUAAGUGCGUUCUCCAAUAGAUGAGUGGAGAGAGAUGAGGAGGAAAGGAGAGAGCCGGACAGGAGGAGGAAGAGUGUUUUCUAAGAUCCUGGUUCCUGAUCUGAUUCUAUUAAUGAUUGUUCACAAUUAAACUAGGGAUGUGCAACAUGAUGAAGACUAGUCAUUUCAACUGUCUGGGAUCUGAGGGAAAUACUCAUCCUGUGACUGUUUUAUACAAUCAUGUCAUUUUAUGUUAUUCCUUGUCUGUUUUUCUUUCGUUACACAGACAAAAAUAUUAUAUUCAACUGACCAACAUUUAGAUUUACAUUCUAUAAAUUAUAUUGUACUCAAUGUAGAUCUCUGCAGUUGUAUAGGCUUUACGUGUAUUUUUAAAUGAUCAAAUAAAUUCAAUUUAUCAAUUGG